RNAcentral lists this ribosomal RNA (253 nucleotides) under uncultured bacterium. RNAcentral describes it as "partial 16S ribosomal RNA". It matches the Rfam family "Bacterial small subunit ribosomal RNA", at positions 524 to 776 of the family's 1533-position model. The record is from RNAcentral.
UACGGAGGAUCCGAGCGUUAUCCGGAUUUAUUGGGUUUAAAGGGAGCGUAGGCCGGCUUUUAAGUCAGCUGUGAAAGUCCGCGGCUCAACCGUGGAAUUGCAGCGCGAACUGGGGGGCUUGAGUGCGCCGGAGGUAGGCGGAAUUCGUGGUGUAGCGGUGAAAUGCUUAGAUAUCACGAAGAACUCCGAUUGCGAAGGCAGCCUGCUAAGCUGCAACUGACAUUGAGGCUCGAAAGUGUGGGUAUCAAACAGG